RNAcentral lists this ribosomal RNA (1459 nucleotides) under Escherichia coli. Its description in RNAcentral is "bacterial SSU rRNA". It matches the Rfam family "Bacterial small subunit ribosomal RNA". Lineage: Bacteria; Pseudomonadati; Pseudomonadota; Gammaproteobacteria; Enterobacterales; Enterobacteriaceae. The record is from RNAcentral.
UGACGAGUGGCGGACGGGUGAGUAAUGUCUGGGAAACUGCCCGAUGGAGGGGGAUAACUACUGGAAACGGUAGCUAAUACCGCAUAACGUCGCAAGACCAAAGAGGGGGACCUUAGGGCCUCUUGCCAUCGGAUGUGCCCAGAUGGGAUUAGCUAGUAGGUGGGGUAACGGCUCACCUAGGCGACGAUCCCUAGCUGGUCUGAGAGGAUGACCAGCCACACUGGAACUGAGACACGGUCCAGACUCCUACGGGAGGCAGCAGUGGGGAAUAUUGCACAAUGGGCGCAAGCCUGAUGCAGCCAUGCCGCGUGUAUGAAGAAGGCCUUCGGGUUGUAAAGUACUUUCAGCGGGGAGGAAGGGAGUAAAGUUAAUACCUUUGCUCAUUGACGUUACCCGCAGAAGAAGCACCGGCUAACUCCGUGCCAGCAGCCGCGGUAAUACGGAGGGUGCAAGCGUUAAUCGGAAUUACUGGGCGUAAAGCGCACGCAGGCGGUUUGUUAAGUCAGAUGUGAAAUCCCCGGGCUCAACCUGGGAACUGCAUCUGAUACUGGCAAGCUUGAGUCUCGUAGAGGGGGGUAGAAUUCCAGGUGUAGCGGUGAAAUGCGUAGAGAUCUGGAGGAAUACCGGUGGCGAAGGCGGCCCCCUGGACGAAGACUGACGCUCAGGUGCGAAAGCGUGGGGAGCAAACAGGAUUAGAUACCCUGGUAGUCCACGCCGUAAACGAUGUCGACUUGGAGGUUGUGCCCUUGAGGCGUGGCUUCCGGAGCUAACGCGUUAAGUCGACCGCCUGGGGAGUACGGCCGCAAGGUUAAAACUCAAAUGAAUUGACGGGGGCCCGCACAAGCGGUGGAGCAUGUGGUUUAAUUCGAUGCAACGCGAAGAACCUUACCUGGUCUUGACAUCCACGGAAGUUUUCAGAGAUGAGAAUGUGCCUUCGGGAACCGUGAGACAGGUGCUGCAUGGCUGUCGUCAGCUCGUGUUGUGAAAUGUUGGGUUAAGUCCCGCAACGAGCGCAACCCUUAUCCUUUGUUGCCAGCGGUCCGGCCGGGAACUCAAAGGAGACUGCCAGUGAUAAACUGGAGGAAGGUGGGGAUGACGUCAAGUCAUCAUGGCCCUUACGACCAGGGCUACACACGUGCUACAAUGGCGCAUACAAAGAGAAGCGACCUCGCGAGAGCAAGCGGACCUCAUAAAGUGCGUCGUAGUCCGGAUUGGAGUCUGCAACUCGACUCCAUGAAGUCGGAAUCGCUAGUAAUCGUGGAUCAGAAUGCCACGGUGAAUACGUUCCCGGGCCUUGUACACACCGCCCGUCACACCAUGGGAGUGGGUUGCAAAAGAAGUAGGUAGCUUAACCUUCGGGAGGGCGCUUACCACUUUGUGAUUCAUGACUGGGGUGAAGUCGUAACAAGGUAACCGUAGGGGAACCUGCGGUUGGAUCACCUCCUUACCUUAAAGAAGC